GGACCACAAAGCCAAAUACAAAUAAAUGAACAUAAUAAUCUGGAAAUAAAAACACAUUACUAUGCUGGCCCAUCAACACUAUGAGCCAGGUUUAUUCACCACAAACGCAUUCCAAAUAUAUACGACAUAGUUGCACUACAGUCCUCACUUUCUCCCAUAUUUAUAGACCAUUACCUCACCUCCCCUUUGAUGACUAGUUGGCGACCGACACCAUCACCGCUCUGGGAGGCUUCCCAGCCCUUCUUGCAUGCUGGCACAGGAGAUUAUUGACGAUGACAAUGUCCCCCUUCUCCCAGUUCAAGUCGACGCAGUUCUCCGCCAAGAUGUUGGUGUAUGUCUCCAGUACUUCAGGUGGGAUCGGAGUGCCGUCUCCGUAGGUGGCGUUGAGAGGCAUUUGCUCGGUGACAUAGCCGAUGAUCGUGUUGAACAUCACCCUCUUACCGUCGAUCUCUCUGAUAGGGAAGGUGGGGCCAUAGUGGAUCUCUGCGCUCCCAUCGGCUUCAUUGUACUUGAAGGCAUUGCAGUAGUGGAGCUUUUCUAUCGCUUCCUUCUCUGCCUCCACGGGGUCAUCGACUCCGACGAGGCGCUGCCAGGUGUCCUUCUGGCGAACAUGGAAGAACCUGAUCCCCUCACGCUCUAGCUUCUCGACCACAUCGGGCAUCAACUCCUCCAUUCUCUGCACCACCACAUCGCUUCUGAUGAUUGCCGUCUGCCCUCCUUCGGGGGAAGGUGUCUCACAGAAGAUUAUCAACUUUUUUGGGUACACUUUUAUCAAGGCCAUCUCAUGAUGGAAGCCGAUGUUGAACUCGAGCGGCGCCUCGUUGGCGGUGAAAACCCUAGGGGCCGGCCUCUUGCGCACCACUGCCCCCCUGUAGGUGAACUCCUCCCACCCAGUGGCCUCGACGACCCUCGAGAAGUCGUCGGCGCUGGAGAGGCCGAACCCACGCAGGAUGAUGGCCCCGUUCUUCUUCAUUAUCUCCGUCAACAGCUCUUGCUCCUGCUGCACUAUUUUCACUAGAUCGUCGACGGUGGGGUUCUCGAGGGUCUCCGGCGGGAGUAGCGUCUUGGGGAAGACGAGCCCAUCGAACACCUUCUCCUCCGGGAUG
RNAcentral lists this unclassified non-coding RNA (1106 nucleotides) under Hevea brasiliensis (rubber tree). The record is from RNAcentral. Lineage: Eukaryota; Viridiplantae; Streptophyta; Magnoliopsida; Malpighiales; Euphorbiaceae.